UUGUAUCAUCUUCUUCAAGUUACCAGCAGAACCUUACCUCUCUCCAUAGCUGGGGUUUCUUCAACUUUCAAGCUUCAUAAUCAAGAAGAGCGAAAUUCGAGAGUAGAUCGAGGAAAAGAAAAAGUAAAGGACUAAAUUGUAAAGUUUAGUCACAUUUUGUAUCGAGUACUUAUCUAGCCACUCGGGAUCGAAGGAA
Molecule: long non-coding RNA, 196 nt
Organism: Gossypium arboreum
Lineage: Eukaryota; Viridiplantae; Streptophyta; Magnoliopsida; Malvales; Malvaceae
Exons: 3
Source: RefSeq, a predicted model, not a curated record